This 758-nucleotide ribosomal RNA is filed under the name Gammarus cf. lacustris DDZ1. Its description in RNAcentral is "partial 28S ribosomal RNA". It matches the Rfam family "Eukaryotic large subunit ribosomal RNA", at positions 337 to 747 of the family's 3401-position model. Lineage: Eukaryota; Metazoa; Arthropoda; Malacostraca; Amphipoda; Gammaridae. RNAcentral also lists the same sequence under 1 other name. The record is from RNAcentral.
AUAGCGAACAAGUACCGUGAGGGAAAGUUGAAAAGCACUCUGGAGAGAGAGUCAAAAGACCGUGAAACCGCUCAGAGUAUAAGCCCAUGGCAGCUUGGAAGGCAUAUCGCUAGCGGGGCAUCGGUCUUCCCACCCUUCGGGGGGUGAAGCUGGUGUUACCUUGCUUCUGUUGGUGCUCGUCAAGGUAGGGGGGUCAAGUCCACAUCCCGCCGUCGUGUGUGAGGUUCUUGGGUGCAUGUUGUCUUUCGGUUGACUUCGGUUGGCCGUUGGGCUCUUCGUGCUUGGUUCUUCUUUAACACGGACGUUCAUACUCAAGGCAAGACGCGAUAACCAGCCCACCACGGCACGUUGUGAGGUCACCCUCAGGCUAAACUUUCGAUUGUGAACCUUGACGCCGAGCAGCACAAUGCGUGUCGCUUAUGUUCCUAACCAGGCAACGCUGCCAGGAUCGUGGAACGACACGCGCUCAACAGUCAGGUUCGAGCGAUGACACAGUUCUGGUAUGAUCCUCUUGCGACGAGCCGGCUUCUGGCCAAUGUCCGCUGCUCAGGUCUCCCGCAUGUGCCGCGGGAGAUCGACCCCUGACGGUCUGGAGCUUUUACAAGUCCUCUCAGUCGGGCAACGGAUAGAGUGGUGUAAAGUCCAAGCCCAUCGGUCACGUCUCGAAACACGGGCCAAGGAGUAUAGCAUGUGUGCAAGUCUAAGGGUCUCACAAAACCCGAAGGCGAAGUGAAAGCAAGUAAGCGGCGGGUGAUCUA